UGGGAUUCUCCAUCUCUUUCCCAAGGCAAUAAACAAAAAAAAAAUGAAGACUCUAUAUCAUCGUGAGCUUUAAUGCUUAAUUAAGGGCGAAUUUGUUAGCUUUGAAGGUAGAUUUUGUCAUCAAAAUUAUGAGUGAUUGAAGCCCAUCAAGUAGAGAGUAAAAUGGUGGUGUUUGAAGCGAGAUAGAACAAGGAAUGAGGUUAAGUUUCGGUGAAGCUAAGAGGUAAGAAAAGCUUUGCAUUAUUAUUUGUUCUUAGAUUGGGAUUAUGAUAGAAGUAAGUUUAGAAUGUGGUAGGUUGACUAGAAGACAUGUCACAAUAGGAUUUUCUUAAAAGGAUGUUUAUAACACCAUUGUUGAGUGCUUGAG
RNAcentral lists this long non-coding RNA (367 nucleotides) under Gossypium barbadense (sea-island cotton). RNAcentral's name for it is "long non-coding RNA (GBAR_LNC012875)". Lineage: Eukaryota; Viridiplantae; Streptophyta; Magnoliopsida; Malvales; Malvaceae. The record is from RNAcentral.